UACAGAGGUCCCAAGCGUUGCUCGGAUUCACUGGGCGUAAAGGGUGCGUAGGUGGCGGGGUAAGUCGGAUGUGAAAUCUCCGAGCUCAACUCGGAAAUGGCAUUGGAAACUACCCUGCUUGAGGGUUGGAGGGGGGACUGGAAUACUUGGUGUAGCAGUGAAAUGCGUAGAUAUCAAGUGGAACACCAGUGGCGAAGGCGAGUCCCUGGACAACUCCUGACACUGAGGCACGAAAGCUAGGGGAGCAAACAGG
RNAcentral lists this ribosomal RNA (253 nucleotides) under uncultured bacterium. RNAcentral describes it as "partial 16S ribosomal RNA". It matches the Rfam family "Bacterial small subunit ribosomal RNA", at positions 524 to 776 of the family's 1533-position model. The record is from RNAcentral.